RNAcentral lists this ribosomal RNA (254 nucleotides) under uncultured bacterium. RNAcentral describes it as "partial 16S ribosomal RNA". It matches the Rfam family "Bacterial small subunit ribosomal RNA", at positions 524 to 776 of the family's 1533-position model. The record is from RNAcentral.
UACAGAGGAGCCAAGCGUUGUCCGGAUUGACUGGGCGUAAAGCGCACGCAGGCGGACGCGCGCGGUGGGGUGUGAAAUCUGGCCGCUUAACGGCCAGGCGCCAUCCCAUACGGCGCGUCUGGAGUGAUGCAGAGGUCGGUGGAAUUGCCGGUGUAGUGGUGAAAUGCGUAGAGAUCGGCAGGAACACCCAGGGGGAAACCAGCCGACUGGGCAUCUACUGACGCUGAGGUGCGAGAGCGUGGGGAGCGAACCGG